RNAcentral lists this ribosomal RNA (973 nucleotides) under Levilactobacillus brevis. Its description in RNAcentral is "bacterial SSU rRNA". It matches the Rfam family "Bacterial small subunit ribosomal RNA", at positions 461 to 1434 of the family's 1533-position model. Lineage: Bacteria; Bacillati; Bacillota; Bacilli; Lactobacillales; Lactobacillaceae. The record is from RNAcentral.
UCAAGGGGUUGACGGUAUUUUACCCAGAAAGCCACGGCUAACUACGUGCCAGCAGCCGCGGUAAUACGUAGGUGGCAAGCGUUGUCCGGAUUUAUGGGCGUAAAGCGAGCGCAGGCGGUUUUUUAAGUCUGAUGUGAAAGCCUUCGGCUUAACCGGAGAAGUGCAUCGGAAACUGGGAGACUUGAGUGCAGAAGAGGACAGUGGAACUCCAUGUGUAGCGGUGGAAUGCGUAGAUAUAUGGAAGAACACCAGUGGCGAAGGCGGCUGUCUAGUCUGUAACUGACGCUGAGGCUCGAAAGCAUGGGUAGCGAACAGGAUUAGAUACCCUGGUAGUCCAUGCCGUAAACGAUGAGUGCUAAGUGUUGGAGGGUUUCCGCCCUUCAGUGCUGCAGCUAACGCAUUAAGCACUCCGCCUGGGGAGUACGACCGCAAGGUUGAAACUCAAAGGAAUUGACGGGGGCCCGCACAAGCGGUGGAGCAUGUGGUUUAAUUCGAAGCUACGCGAAGAACCUUACCAGGUCUUGACAUCUUCUGCCAAUCUUAGAGAUAAGACGUUCCCUUCGGGGACAGAAUGACAGGUGGUGCAUGGUUGUCGUCAGCUCGUGUCGUGAGAUGUUGGGUUAAGUCCCGCAACGAGCGCAACCCUUAUUAUCAGUUGCCAGCAUUCAGUUGGGCACUCUGGUGAGACUGCCGGUGACAAACCGGAGGAAGGUGGGGAUGACGUCAAAUCAUCAUGCCCCUUAUGACCUGGGCUACACACGUGCUACAAUGGACGGUACAACGAGUCGCGAAGUCGUGAGGCUAAGCUAAUCUCUUAAAGCCGUUCUCAGUUCGGAUUGUAGGCUGCAACUCGCCUACAUGAAGUUGGAAUCGCUAGUAAUCGCGGAUCAGCAUGCCGCGGUGAAUACGUUCCCGGGCCUUGUACACACCGCCCGUCACACCAUGAGAGUUUGUAACACCCAAAGCCCGGUGA